Molecule: transfer RNA, 72 nt
Filed under: Camelus bactrianus (Bactrian camel)
Lineage: Eukaryota; Metazoa; Chordata; Mammalia; Artiodactyla; Camelidae
Also listed under: 2 other names
Rfam family: tRNA
About the family: Transfer RNA (tRNA) molecules are approximately 80 nucleotides in length. Their secondary structure includes four short double-helical elements and three loops (D, anti-codon, and T loops). Further hydrogen bonds mediate the characteristic L-shaped molecular structure. tRNAs have two regions of fundamental functional importance: the anti-codon, which is responsible for specific mRNA codon recognition, and the 3' end, to which the tRNAs corresponding amino acid is attached (by aminoacyl-tRNA synthetases). tRNAs cope with the degeneracy of the genetic code in two manners: having more than one tRNA (with a specific anti-codon) for a particular amino acid; and 'wobble' base-pairing, i.e. permitting non-standard base-pairing at the 3rd anti-codon position.
Source: Rfam by way of RNAcentral
GGAAUUAUAGCUCAGUGGUAAAGGAUAUGCUUAGCACACAUGAGGUCCUGAGUUCAAUCCGCAGUACCUCCA